GCAUUCAGUAGAUACCCAGAACCACAGUGACCGUAAUGUUGCCAAGUAACGUUAAAUCAAAAAUUGGUUUUCAAAAAAGUGAAAAGAAAAAGAGAGAGAGGAAAGACAAAGGAAAGGGUGUCAAACUGUAACCCAGUUUUUCACCAAGAAAGCAGACCUAACAACAGAUGAGUCAGCAGCACCCCAUCUCCCCCUAACUGUGCCUCUCCCUGUCCCAGUGAAAAAGGUGAGCAACAUUGUGUUCAAUGACAUGCCAGUUAGCAUCAUUGCAGGGAGUCCGUGGGGAUUUCUCUGCUCUUUUUACCUUU
Molecule: long non-coding RNA, 308 nt
Organism: Etheostoma spectabile (orangethroat darter)
Lineage: Eukaryota; Metazoa; Chordata; Actinopteri; Perciformes; Percidae
Exons: 2
Source: RefSeq, a predicted model, not a curated record